Molecule: small nucleolar RNA, 121 nt
Organism: Sorex fumeus (smoky shrew)
Lineage: Eukaryota; Metazoa; Chordata; Mammalia; Eulipotyphla; Soricidae
Product: small nucleolar RNA SNORA28
Exons: 1
Source: RefSeq, a predicted model, not a curated record
AACCAGCACUCUGUGGCAGAUGAUCAAAACUGACACAAUUUGCACUUGCUAUAGCAAGAAGGUUUAACCUAUGCUGGUAUUCUUUUCUCCUUGAGACAAGCCUUUCUACUGAUUUAACAGC